CAACCUUGAUGAAAGAACUGAGACUUCUAUUCCACACCGGCUGUGUUUCCAUGUCAGCAAUGUCACAACUUGAGUAAUUAGCAUUAAGAUGGAACAGAUGAUGCUGAUUCUGUAGGAGAGCCCAUAUUUUCCAUCUGUUGGGAAAGCAACAAAAUCGCCAAGAAUCCGAGUUGCAUGAUUAUACUGGCAUCUUCCCAGUGGCAUGGGGAGAUCAUCUCUGGCCAUGCUAAAUCUGUCAGGGAUCAACAGUACCACAAAUGAAACUCAAACAGAAAAGAUCCCAACAGGGAAAAUGUUUAUAGUAACAUCAUAAUAAGGUGAGUUUCUAUCCUCAUUUUUUUUAUAAAGAUGUCACAUCAGUAUUGGAAGUACAUGGAAUACAUCAUUUAAACACCAUGGAUGAAAAGUUCCAGAUUUGUUUUAUCCGGAAAGCUUAAAUUUAGAAUAUAGAUCGAGUCGAAGGGGAAAGCAGAACCUUGAUUUUUGUAUCUAUUACAAAAUGAAAUUUGCUUCCCAUAAGAGCUUCAGUAGGAAGAUAAAAUGUCAAAUAAGUUUGACUCAGACAGUUGAAAUUCAUGCAUACUGCUCCUAGACAAGAAUGAGAUUUAGAGAUGAACAUAAAUUAACAUAUAUACUUCAUGUUCACAUCAUAAACUGAAAUGAGUGUACAUGUUAAAAGAAAAAACAGAAACACACUUAUCUCCUUGACAGUGCGUGCAGUGUGUGCGCGCGCGCAUGCAUGGUGUGGACGAUGAGAGAGAACUAAGGAGACUUACUUGUUACACUGCUGAAAAUUCGUCCAUUCACCACCAUCUCUCUCUCUCUCUCUCUCUCCUGCCCUUUUCCUCCCUUGCGAGAGUUGGAGAAGUGAUUGCAAAAUAUGUGGUUGAGAAAGUAGAAACUUUCUCUUUUCUGUUUUCCUUUUUUAUAUAGAUGAAUCAGUGUGUGUGUGAGAGUGAAGGAAAGUAAAACAAAGUGCAAAGCAAACCGCCUCCCUUGAUAGUAUAGUAUAGAGACGUGAAUGAUUGUAAGGUUGUAAUCGGCGAAGAUAGUGAUAUUAGGGGAGAAGACACACCGAAAACCCUCCUUGUAUAUACAUAAACACCAGUAUUUUUAAUAUAUAUCCCCUCAAAAUAUAUAUAGUAUACUACUUAAUUCAAUUGUAUGUCUGCCGACUGCGAGUGUCUUUUGGAAUGUCGUCUUCAUCAGUCACGUGAGGACGUGAAGUGAAUUUCGGAAGAGUCUUUUUUAUUUUCACUUAACAGUUUGUAAUUAACUUUUGACCAACUGUGGUGAUUGUUUUUAGGCAUUCGUGAUUAUCUUUUAGGAAUAUCAAAGGCAUAGAUAUUAUAUAUACAUCUCUUUGAAGAUCCAAAAAACCUAAAGAAGUAUAUCUGUACGAGCAAUUCUUUCGGAGGAGUCGUUUUCCAUGAUGUAGUUGCUGACAGGUAUGCAAAUUUUAUGUAUAUUAGUAUCAAUUAUCACCCUCUGCGAAAAAAAGACAUAAUGCGAUCGAUUGCUAAUUUUUGUUAGGGAUAAUAAGUCUUACAAAUCAUUAAGUUUGGGCCUAUGAUAUUAUUUUCCACGAAUUCUAAAAGUGUUCUAUAAAAUUACUAGUAUAUAUAUAGUGCAAUUUUCCUGAAACAAUUCAAUAGUAGUGGAGUAGUAUUAUUUUUCAGGGUAAAUUGAACCUAGGUGGCUGGCUCUACUUUAUUUUGUAGGCCACUUUUAAAAUUCAUGAAAAAUAUAAAAAAAAUGACCUAAAGUUUAUGAUUUUUAAGACUAUUAAAGUUUUUUUUUUAUAUAGAAAAAGUUGUCUAACCUUUCAAAAAUCCAGGUGGUUGAUCCGCAUGAAUUUUCCCUGGUUUUAUAGACUUGUUUGGUUUUGAUCAUAUAUUGCUUGAAUUGAGCUUGAUAAUGUCUAUAUUCCUUUAUUUUGGUAAUUCGACAUUUUAUUGAGGAUUGUGUAGAAAAUAGGUGUAAAACGCAAAGUGCAUAAGUUUAGGUGGAAAUGUGGAACCGAAGGAAUCCAAUGACUGGUUGAGUGACUAUUGACUUCACACGAAAGCCAACCUGAUACGGGAACACACCCGACAACAAUCACAGAAGCGCAAGGGGACGAAGUGAGACGGGAGGAAGGCUGCGAGGUACCGAGAGCAGAGGAGAAUCAGUUGGUGUUUGAAACGGCAGGGGAAGAAAGAGCGCCAGCGGCAGUGCCGAGCAGGAGCGACCGGCCACGACGGGAGUCGAGACCUCCAGUGAAGUAUGGAGACUUCGUGGUCGCACGGAAUAAGCGUUGAAGAUUCAGACGUGGAGAGUUAUUUUGCUUUCUUUAAUAUUAGUAUUUAUUUUGGAUGUUGCUAUUUCAUUAUUUGGACCGAUUUAAUUAAAGUUUAGAGUCGAGCCCAAUAAGCUCCUUUCCGGGUUUUCUUGGUGAUUCUUUCCCGGAUCGCAAAAGAGAGUCGAAUCAUCUAGGGUCCUUAGAUUAUAAAAGGGGAUUGUGUUAUGAAUUGUUCAUCAAGAAAUAACAUAUUUUUCCUA
Long non-coding RNA from Salvia splendens (bonfire salvia), 2541 nucleotides. RefSeq lists it as uncharacterized. NCBI's taxonomy places the organism in Eukaryota, Viridiplantae, Streptophyta, Magnoliopsida, Lamiales, Lamiaceae. The transcript has 3 exons. The record is from RefSeq and is a predicted model, not a curated record.